GACGACGGCUGGCGGCGUGCCUAACACAUGCAAGUCGAGCGAGGUAUUUAUACCUAGCGGCGGACGGGUGAGUAACACGUGGGUAACCUGCCUCAGAGAGGGGAAUAGCCUUCCGAAAGGAAGAUUAAUACCGCAUAAUAUAUACUUUUAGCAUUAUGAGUAUAUCAAAGGAGCAAUCCGCUUUGAGAUGGGCCCGCGGCGCAUUAGCUAGUUGGAGAGGUAACGGCUCACCAAGGCGACGAUGCGUAGCCGACCUGAGAGGGUGAUCGGCCACAUUGGAACUGAGACACGGUCCAGACUCCUACGGGAGGCAGCAGUGGGGAAUAUUGCACAAUGGGGGAAACCCUGAUGCAGCAACGCCGCGUGAAUGAUGAAGGCCUUCGGGUCGUAAAGUUCUUUGAUUGGGGACGAUAAUGACGGUACCCAAAAAACAAGCCACGGCUAACUACGUG
Molecule: ribosomal RNA, 452 nt
Filed under: uncultured bacterium
Lineage: Bacteria
Description: bacterial SSU rRNA
Rfam family: Bacterial small subunit ribosomal RNA
Source: RNAcentral